AUUGAACGCUGGCGGCAAGCCUAACACAUGCAAGUCGCACGAGUGGCGGACGGGUGAGUAAUGUCUGGGAAACUGCCUGAUGGAGGGGGAUAACUACUGGAAACGGUAGCUAAUACCGCAUCCCAUCGGAUGUGCCCAGAUGGGAUUCGCUAGUAGGUGGGGUAAAGGCUCACCUAGGCGACGAUCCCUAGCUGGUCUGAGAGGAUGACCGCCCACACUGGAACUGAGACACGGUCCAGACUCCGACGGGAGGCAUCAGUGGGGAAUAUUUCACAAUGGGCGCAAGCCUGAUGCAGCCAUGCCGCGUGUAUGAAGAAGGCCUUCGUGUUGUAAAGUACUUUCAGCGGGGAGGCGUUACCCGCAGAAGAAGCACCGGCUAACUCCGUGCCAGCAGCCGCGGUAAUAC
RNAcentral lists this ribosomal RNA (406 nucleotides) under uncultured bacterium. Its description in RNAcentral is "partial 16S ribosomal RNA". It matches the Rfam family "Bacterial small subunit ribosomal RNA", at positions 30 to 526 of the family's 1533-position model. The record is from RNAcentral.